This 483-nucleotide ribosomal RNA is filed under the name uncultured bacterium. RNAcentral describes it as "partial 16S ribosomal RNA". It matches the Rfam family "Bacterial small subunit ribosomal RNA", at positions 30 to 506 of the family's 1533-position model. The record is from RNAcentral.
AUUGAACGCUGGCGGCAGGCCUAACACAUGCAAGUCGAGCGGAUGAAGGGAGCUUGCUCCUGGAUUCAGCGGCGGACGGGUGAGUAAUGCCUAGGAAUCUGCCUGGUAGUGGGGGAUAACGUCCGGAAACGGGCGCUAAUACCGCAUACGUCCUGAGGGAGAAAGUGGGGGAUCUUCGGACCUCACGCUAUCAGAUGAGCCUAGGUCGGAUUAGCUAGUUGGUGGGGUAAAGGCCUACCAAGGCGACGAUCCGUAACUGGUCUGAGAGGAUGAUCAGUCACACUGGAACUGAGACACGGUCCAGACCCCUACGGGAGGCAGCAGUGGGAAAUAUUGGACAAUGGGCGAAAGCCUGAUCCAGCCAUGCCGCGUGUGUGAAGAAGGUCUUCGGAUUGUAAAGCACUUUAAGUUGGGAGGAAGGGCAGUAAGUUAAUACCUUGCUGUUUGGACGUUACCAACAGAAUAAGCACCGGCUAACUUCGU